Non-coding RNA from Pelobates cultripes (western spadefoot toad), 313 nucleotides. NCBI's taxonomy places the organism in Eukaryota, Metazoa, Chordata, Amphibia, Anura, Pelobatidae. The record is from the annotation of a GenBank genome assembly.
CUCCAAACAGCCAAACCGGAACCAUACGAAUGCUAUAAACAGCCGAACAGGAAUAAACCAUACGAAAGGUUUACUCCUAGCAGUCGAACUGGAAACAGCAUACAAUAAAUCCUCCCAAUAACGAGACAAGUCUCUGUGUUGAGGGUCAAGCAGUGCUCUGGUUUAAUGGGGCUACCUGCCCGGUAUUUAUGCAGGUUUUCCACCUGGUGGACACUCCCCUAGGGGACCAGAUGGAAGACUGGGACACAAAUGGUACACUGACCAAUCACAGACAUACACAGUGAAUUAUCUUCCAGGACAGAGGCGAGACUCC